GUGUGUGUGUGUGUGUGUGUGUGUGUGUGUGUGUGUGUGUGUGUGUGUGUGUGUGUGUGUGUGUGUGUGUGUGUGUGUGUGUGUGUGUGUGUGUGUGUGUGUGUGUAAACAACAUACUGUUAUAUGCUGUAUGAAUGGGUGAAGCCGUGUAUCCCCUUUUCACAAUAAUGAGCGAGUGUAAGUUUGAUGCCCCUCUCUUGCUCAGUGUGUUUUUGGUGCUGUUAAAUCACACUGGACCUUUUCUGGAAAAAAGACUUGAAUCGAAAAAGUGUAGGGCUCCUCUUCUGAAGAGGCGAGCCACUGUGAGAGAGGGGAGAAACAUCUAGAUUGUAGCCUACUUGAAUUGUUUUAGUUUUUUAUGUAAGUUGAGAUUUUUUAUUUACUUUCUCUGCUUAUUGACUCAAACCAACUUAAUAUAACACAACGCCUUAGUUUGUAUUGAAAAAGUAUGAUAAAGAUCUAUGCAGGACUGUAAAACGCUCAAUGCAAAAGUGCAAGUCGCCGCUUGGCUUUCAACCUCUACUCCACUUGUCAGUGCAUUUCUGGAGUUGUGAAUGUUUGUAGAUGUUGUGUCACCGUAGACUGUAAAAAUAGAGGACGUAGCAGCCGUGACAUUCCCCAUUGGUUUGUGGACUGCCGUUUUCAAGCUUCAAGCUUGGCAAUCUUGGUUGGCAUAAUGCUGAACAGUACAUUUUAAGUGACCAAAUGUUCCAAUUAAAUUUAAUGAAGUGAAAACACAAAGUGAGAGGGUCAAAGUUUAAGACAAAACCAUGAACAGCACCCAAAAACAAGUUCACGACUAUUUUAAUGUACAAAGGGCCAUGGAUAUGCAUUGCUAAGCCUCUACUGUGAUUGACAGGUCGGUAUGUAGCUACACCCACAAAGCAUCCCCCCCAUGUGUCAAUUUUAAAAUAAAUGGGACCAUAAUUUGCAAAACAAACAUGAUGUAUUUAAGAAGACUUGAAAGUAGUGAUGUAGGCCAUAAAUUUAUUAUGAUAAUGUUUACUGAAAUAAUAAGACGUGAGAAUUUAGGUCCUUUGCCUUGAUUUAUAGAAACUGACUUAUUUUUGCAACCAGUGGAGUCACCGCUUGCAGGAAUUUAGAUAAAAUGCAGGUUUAAGGCAUUUCUGCAUAGGCUUCACUUUUCAGGCCCAGAAGCUUUGUCUACUAUUUUUACAGUCUAUGUAUGCCACUCAAGACUUUUUUUUUUUUUCUUUCUUUCUUUCUGGUGUGUGUUUAUGCAUCUACUGAAUAAACGUACAGGGACUAGAGAGCUGAGCUGAACACAAACAAAGUCACACUCCCAUAGAAACGGUUACGUCCGUUGCUAGCUAGUUCAACUACCAUUGUACAGUCAGUAAAGUUACAUUCAUUGUCGGUCUGAAUACACCUGUAGAGAUCACAUUACCUUUCUUCGGCUGAAUACCUCCGUUAACAAAACCGUUCUUCCUGAGUCUCUCGCAGCCCUUCCCCGACUAGUUCCAUGUGUGUCUGACUGACCAGCUGCACCGAGAAUGGCGCCAAAGAUUGUUCUGUAACAUUAACGUUAGCUCAUUUAGAUGGGGUGUUGCUGGUGUGUGUAUGUGUGUGAGUGUGGGAUUAUUCUGACAUCUCCCCCCCCCCCCCCCCCCCCCCCCCCCCAAAAUAUAAACCCAUGAGUGUCAAUGUGCGGUCCUUCAGGAUGUCAGUGUAAAGUCUUGUGACUGGAGCAGUGGGUGACAUCUUAUACAUUUUGCUUUCUUUGGGGUUCAGGAAGGAUAGAAAUGACAUUACGUGGUUAAUUGGUUACUUAAUUUGGUCUUUUGUAGAUUAUUUUUGUGUGUUAAAUAUGAAAUUAAACAAAACAGGUGGUUUUCA
Long non-coding RNA from Etheostoma spectabile (orangethroat darter), 1857 nucleotides. RefSeq lists it as uncharacterized. The transcript is spliced from 2 exons. NCBI's taxonomy places the organism in Eukaryota, Metazoa, Chordata, Actinopteri, Perciformes, Percidae. The record is from RefSeq and is a predicted model, not a curated record.